RNAcentral lists this ribosomal RNA (435 nucleotides) under Paranauphoeta vicina sinica. Its description in RNAcentral is "partial 16S ribosomal RNA". The record is from RNAcentral. Lineage: Eukaryota; Metazoa; Arthropoda; Insecta; Blattodea; Blaberidae.
CGUUUUUUGUAUAUAAUAUAAAGUAUAACCUGCCCACUGAUGAAUCUUAAAUGGCCGCGGUAUAUUGACCGUGCAAAGGUAGCAUAAUCAUUAGUCUUUUAAUUGAAGGCUGGAAUGAAUGGUUGGACGAGAUAAUAACUGUCUUGAAUUAAUAUUAUUAUUGAAUUUAAUCUUUAAGUUAAAAAGCUUAAAUAGGUUUAUGGGACGAGAAGACCCUAUAGAAUUUAUAUAUUAUAUUAAAUUUUAAUUGGUUUGGUUAUGAUAAAAUUUAAUCAAAUAUUUCGUUGGGGUGAUGGAAAGAAAAAUUUAACUCUUUUUGUUAAUUGAAUAUUAAUGUAUAAAUUUUUGAUCCACUAUUAAUGAUUAUAAGAUCAAAUUCUUAGGGAUAACAGCGUAAUUUUUCUUGAGAGUUCAUAUCGACAGAAAGGAUUGCGA